CAGUGGCAGUGGCAGUGGGCUACUACCGAUUGAAUGGUUUAGUGAGGACUCCUGAUUGGCGCCGCCGCCCCGGCAACGGAGCAGCGGACUGCCGAAAAGUUGUUCAAACUUGAUCAUUUAGAGGAAGUAAAAGUCGUAACAAGGUUUCCGUAGGUGAACCUGCAGAAGGAGACCGGAAGAGCGUCGUGUACGGGAAGAGAGUAGGUCUCUGUGGUAGCCGGAUCAUUA
Molecule: unclassified non-coding RNA, 228 nt
Filed under: sea anemone metagenome
Description: partial contains small subunit ribosomal RNA and internal transcribed spacer 1
Rfam family: Eukaryotic small subunit ribosomal RNA (bases 13-168)
Source: RNAcentral